ACUCAUGACAAAAGCAAAACUGGUGGCAAUGUGGUGUCUCAUUCUUGGUUCCAUGGCUUUCUAUGUUACAUUUGCACAUUUGUUACUUUUUUCCACUCAAUUCCAGUGAAACAAAAAUCGAAAUUCUUAAUUUAAGAACUCUAAUCUCGCAAUGAUUUGCAGAGCAAAUACUUGGAUGGUGUCUCAAUGUUGAAUGUCAGGGAAUAUGUCCAGAUGUCCUGAUGGCAAGCGCUGAUCUUUGAUGUAAAGCCAAUAUUAUGGGUGUAUUAAAACAAAGUCCCUAUGGCAGGGCUGCCCCAUCCUGUUCCUGGUGGUCCACUUCAUUGUGUGUUUUCUUUUCUACACUAAUUUGACACCCCUGAUUCUACUAAUUAGCAGGUGAACAAAGCCUCUAGCUGUAGAAUGAGAUGUGCUUUUUUUUAAGGCUUAGAUUGAAAACCAACAGGGCUAGGUUUCCCGGAACAGGAUUCGGAAACCCUAUGGUAAUGCUACAUCUUCCUUUGCCUAAAGCAGGGCUGCCCAACCCUGUUACUGAGGAUCUACCAUCCUGAUUGAAAUGAAAACCUAAAGGACAGUGGAUCUCCGGAAACGUGGUUUGGGAGCCCUGACCUGAGGGACAUUGUUUAAAGAGCCCUGGACUCAACCCCAUUCAACACCUUUGGGAUCAAUUGGAAAGUCAGUCUGGAAGCCAGCCUCUCCCAAUCAGUGCCCAACCUCGCUAAUGCUCUUCUGGCUGAAUGGAAGCAAAUCCCAUGCUCUGACAUCUAGUAUAAAGCCUUUCCAGAAGAGUGGAGGUUGUUAUAACAGCAAAGGAUGGACUGACUCCAUAUUAAAGGCCAUAAUUUUGAAUGAGAUGUUGGAUGUCUGGCAUGUCAGGCUAACCAGCUGACGCCAUUUUUCUAAAUGUAAAAAUUUUUUUUUUUUAAUUCAAAUGAUUUUGUUUCCAUUUCACAGCACGAUCAAGAAUAUAGGCCAACAAUUACAUAGGGUGGAGAAUGUUUAAUAGUCCUAGCUUUCACCAAAAUCACAAGUAUGAAAAUACCUUUAAUGUACUGUACUGCACUCGUGUUAAAGUUGGCACUUUGCCAGACUGUCAGAGUCUGGAUCAAGGAAAAUUACGUUAAUAUUUAAAUGAGGCCCUCGGUUAUGUGGGAGGCAGUCUAUAGACCUUUAUGAUGCAUGAACGAGCUCAUUAAAUAAUGAAUGUUACCUCUAAAAUUCGCCUCUUAAAAUGACCACUGUCUGUUACUAAUAAAGUAGAAGAGUAAUAAAAUGGUUAGGGUUCGCAGAAGGCUUGAAACUGUUAGAUUCUGCAUGUGAAGGGGGAAGCGUGUUUGCCUGCACGUGUGUGCACAUAUGUGUAUGCGUGAUCUCUGGGUGUGGUCGACAAGGGUUGGUCCCGCUUUGCCACAAAAAAACUCCUGGAGAUUGUAAGUCCUCGGGCAUUUCCCAUGGGACCUCUGGCACAGCUCCCCUCUCCCGCCAAAAUACAGAAGGUGUACGUGGGUACGGUAGCAAUAAGAGCUAGUGUCAUUUUUUUUUUAAAAGGAUGGGCUAAUUUCUGUAGAGGGAGUGGCAUCUUCCCAGGCAGAUUGGAUGGUAAGGUGUGACUGGAAUGCCUCUUGCAGGUGCAGGCAGGGGAGAGGGUGAGGGGCGGGGGCAGGGUGUGUUAUAGCAUUUCAGCAAUGAGCUGGUAUUGUUCAGUGGCAGCGGCGUUAUGUAAAACGCGUGGUAUUAGCUCCAGGGGUGUGCUUUGUUCCUUUUAUACAGUUCAGAUUAUAUAUUACGCACGGCCACCACCCCAGAUUUUCCCUCCAGUUAAAAAUGAAAGCAUAAAGGCAUGUAUAAGAAAGCCGUAGGCAUACAUGCAACAGAGUUACAGACCGGCUGGUUUGUCAAAAAAUGGUAUAAACCUGAACGUACCAUUUGCAAUUAUGCUUUUAAGGCACCUUAUUAUUAAACACAUAGAUUACCAUUCCUAUCAUCACUGAUACAAAAAGCAUGGA
Anguilla rostrata (American eel) is the source of this 2006-nucleotide long non-coding RNA. RefSeq lists it as uncharacterized. NCBI's taxonomy places the organism in Eukaryota, Metazoa, Chordata, Actinopteri, Anguilliformes, Anguillidae. The transcript is spliced from 3 exons. The record is from RefSeq and is a predicted model, not a curated record.